CACUCCCAAAGCCACCAGACGCAAAGGAGCCCUGGGGGCUCCAGGCACGAGUGAGCCACAGAGCCAUGAGAUGGUGGCCUUGGCUGCUGGCACAGGCGUCCCGGCUUCCCUCCCGGUCCCUGCGGGCUCUGGAGGGGACUCUUCUGCUCCAGGUGGUGUGGCGACCAGGGGGAGAUCUGGACCCAUUGCAGUCACCGAGCUGCCAGGUAUGGACUUGACACGCGGAGGUGGGGAGAGCCCAGGACGCCUAACAGGACGUGCCCCUGUGCCUGCCCAGGUGUGUGGCUGGCUGCUGUGCAGGGAAGUUGUGGCGAAACUCCAGCCUGCUCGACCAGCCGAGCAGGAGAGGGGCGUCCUAGUUGGGUCUGCCAGGCAGCUGGAGGAUGCGGGAGAGGAUGCCUGCUUAUGGGCCAGUCCCCUCCCCUCUGUCCAGAAAUAGGCACACAAUGAAGAAGCCGCCUGAUUCCAGAUGGCAGCUGUCCCAGAAAAGCAGGUGCCCUGCGUGGUGUGGACACACACACACACAUUAAUAGAGUGAUUUCCAUUCAUGGUGCCGAAAUCUGACUUCAGAAGAAGCCUCGGCUCACAGAGGGUGGAGAGAAUCCAGGAAUGGGGGGCAUUGUCUUUGCUCUAAAGAAAACCCCAAAGGGAGUAGUCAUUUGGACACUCAAUUUUGAUGGAUGGAGCAUAAAGCAUGGCCGAUGUACUGUCAUCUAGGAAGGUGAGCGCUGAGCGGUGAAGGGCCACCAGAGGCGAGCUAACCAAGGAGUUCUUGGGGAGGCAGGGCUUUUGGCCAUAGCUGCUUCACCCCACAAAGAGCCACCACUCAUCCACUGAACACCCACGGUGAUUAGGGGGCGGAAGACCGGGCGAGGCUCAGCCUCCCAUGCACAGUGGGGAGGCAACUGGAGGCAGACAGCCACACGCUGUGGCCCCUGCCACCACAGAGGAUGUCUUUGAGCUUUUCCUGGGGUGGGUGUUGUUUCUCAAGGAGAAACCAGCUAUUCUCCCUCCCAUCCUGCCCCUUCCCUUCACCACAAACAUGGACUGAGCACCUACUGUGCACGAGGGUGGCUGCGGGAGCAGGGAAUGUGCUGACGCAGAAAACAGCCUCCCCCCUGGUACUUAUGCUCUGAUGGGACCGAGGCAAGCAACAGUCAAAGUAACAAUCAGACAGUGGUAAGCACUGUGAAGGAAAAUGAAGCAGGCCCAGGGACGAAAAGGCAGGAGGGGACCUGUUGUGGGACGGCCUCCUGCAGAGGGACACUGGAACACUGGACUGCCCACACGGUGUCCAUCUCUGGGAGUUGGCCUGGGACAGCAAAUGCCUCCCACCUCCUGGGACACUCAAGGUGAUUCCAGGGCUCCCUGGCUCCCCGGACAUGCCUGAGUGGUCCUCUGGGGCAGCCCACAGUGAGUGCCACAGCGUGGACCGACACCCAGGGCUCCCCUGUGCAGGGGGAGAGGGGAAGGGUGGUCCAGCAGGGGUGGGGGUGCCCUGGCACGAUGUUCCAGGAAAACCUCCCUCUCGCCAGGCCUCGCAGCCUGUGGGAUACUGAUCCGGCCCCUCCCCUCAGAGUUCCCACAGCCCCAGCAGCGUCUCCCGGGGGCCAGGCACCUAGCUAGGUCCACCCCGCCCCGGAGCUGCUCAUCAGCCUCCUUCCUGGGCGAGCACCUCGGCUUCCCGGCUGUAGCCGAGAAGCCCCACACCUGGGCCUACGUGCCCUCCGGCACCAGCAUUCAGCAGGAAGCCAGGGGAGAGAGGCAGCUCACUAAACAACCAGGACGCAGCAUUUAAACAGAGCCUCUUGGCACCUCCCAGAGAUCUUACUGAGGAUGAUAUAUCUGUACCUCCUUGUCCCUGGCUGUCUUUGGAAUCUCAUUUCUGUGGACUUCCCAGAAAAGUUGGCCAGUUCGCAUUCACAUCAGCAGCUUCUGAAUCCAAGGAGCCUUUCAAGGUCACUGUUAAUGCCCUUUGCUCAUUGGUUUAACAUUAUUGCACUGUUCUUAUCCAGCCUGUAUUGAUUCUUCAUUAAUUAGGGAUAUUAACCUCUUGUCUUUCAUAUUUGUUACCAAUAUU
Long non-coding RNA from Manis pentadactyla (Chinese pangolin), 2080 nucleotides. RefSeq lists it as uncharacterized. The transcript is spliced from 3 exons. The record is from RefSeq and is a predicted model, not a curated record. NCBI's taxonomy places the organism in Eukaryota, Metazoa, Chordata, Mammalia, Pholidota, Manidae.